UGAGGAAGGAGAAUUGCUUGAACCCAGGAAGUGGAGGCUGCAGUGAGCCGAGAUUGCACCACUGCACUACAGCCUGGGUGACAGAGCGAGACUCCGUCUCA
RNAcentral lists this microRNA precursor (101 nucleotides) under Nomascus leucogenys (northern white-cheeked gibbon). Its description in RNAcentral is "miRNA (ENSNLEG00000035774.1)". The record is from RNAcentral. Lineage: Eukaryota; Metazoa; Chordata; Mammalia; Primates; Hylobatidae.